UCAGGACGAACGCUGGCGGCGUGCCUAAUACAUGCAAGUCGAACGGCUUUUCUAUGGAAGCUUGCUUCCACUGAGAAGAUAGUGGCGAACGGGUGAGUAACACGUGGGUAACCUGCCCAUAAGAGGGGGAUAACAUCCGGAAACGGGUGCUAAUACCGCAUAGUUUUCUUGAUCGCAUGAUCGGGAAGGAAAGACGGCCUUUGUGCUGUCGCUUAUGGAUGGACCCGCGGCGUAUUAGUUAGUUGGUGAGGUAACGGCUCACCAAGACGAUGAUACGUAGCCGACCUGAGAGGGUGAUCGGCCACAUUGGGACUGAGACACGGCCCAAACUCCUACGGGAGGCAGCAGUAGGGAAUCUUCCGCAAUGGACGAAAGUCUGACGGAGCAACGCCGCGUGAGUGAAGAAAAGGUUUUCGGAUCGUAAAACUCUGUUGUCAGAGAAGAACAAGUUGGAGAGUAACUGCUCCAGCCUUGACGGUAUCUGACCAGAAAGCCACGGCUAACUACGUGCCAGCCGCUGC
RNAcentral lists this ribosomal RNA (521 nucleotides) under uncultured bacterium. RNAcentral describes it as "bacterial SSU rRNA". It matches the Rfam family "Bacterial small subunit ribosomal RNA", at positions 24 to 518 of the family's 1533-position model. The record is from RNAcentral.